GUGAAUCAUCGAAUCUUUGAACGCACAUUGCGCUCUUUGGUAUUCCGAAGAGCACGCCUGUUUGAGUAUCGAAAAAACCGUCACGACUUGGUCCUGGAGCUCGCUUCGGUAGACUUUGAGACGUGAGAGUUGGGCUGUGCCUGCUUUAACCAGCAGGUAGCCUCAAAUGAGAGCGUUGGAAGCUGGAUCUCCUCUACUGGGAUCGCUGCCCGAAAUGUCUUGAAUUGAGGUCCCUUCGGGGAUAUCUUCAUUUUUCUUUCUUGCAGUUUCUCAGAGCCUGGUGGAGAACCGGUCGACCGA
This 300-nucleotide unclassified non-coding RNA is filed under the name uncultured fungus. RNAcentral's name for it is "sequence contains 5.8S rRNA gene, ITS2". The stretch from base 1 to 71 matches the Rfam family "5.8S ribosomal RNA", at positions 84 to 154 of the family's 154-position model. Lineage: Eukaryota; Fungi. The record is from RNAcentral.